Long non-coding RNA from Oncorhynchus keta (chum salmon), 764 nucleotides. RefSeq lists it as uncharacterized. The record is from RefSeq and is a predicted model, not a curated record. NCBI's taxonomy places the organism in Eukaryota, Metazoa, Chordata, Actinopteri, Salmoniformes, Salmonidae. The transcript is spliced from 3 exons.
AGAGAGAGAGAGAGAGAGAGAGAGAGAGAGAGAGAGAGAGAGAGAGAGCACCAGCCAGACCACUGCAAUUAACAGAGACUAAGGAGCUGUAGCUGUGUAGCGGAGCACCGUGGCAACGCAGACACUGAUAGUCAUCAUGUUACCGUGACACAACAGAUGCUGCUCUCUAGAGGACAGGGAGGAGACUGGGAGGGGCACUAGGGGUCAACAAAGGGUCAAGGAAAAACUGCUGCCUGGUGUUGACAUGUGGUCAGGUGGUCAGGUGGUCAGGUGGUCAGGUAGACAGGUGGUCAGGUGGUCAGGUGGUCAGGUAGACAGGUGGUCAGGUGGUCAGGUGGACAGGUGGACAGGUGGUCAGGUGGUCAGGUGGACAGGUGGUCAGGUGGUCAGGUGGUCAGGUGGUCAGGUGGUCAGGUGGUCAGGUGGUCAGGUGGUCAGGUGGUCAGGUGGUCAGGUGGUCAGGUGGACAGGUGGUCAGGUGGACAGGUGGUCAGGUAGACAGGUGGUCAGGUGGUCAGGUGGACAGGUGGACAGGUGGACAGGUGGUCAGGUGGUCAGGUGGACAGGUGGACAGGUGGUCAGGUGGUCAGGUGGACAGGUGGACAGGUGGUCAGGUGGACAGGUGGACAGGUGGACAGGUGGACAGGUGGACAGGUGGUCAGGUGGUCAGGUGGUCAGUGGAAACUGUUUGGCCGGAGAGCGAGGUGCUGGGAGUGUUUCUGUGUCUCUGGGAUGACAGGCACCUUCCAUUCCGUCUGUCAAAG